RNAcentral lists this ribosomal RNA (424 nucleotides) under uncultured bacterium. RNAcentral describes it as "bacterial SSU rRNA". It matches the Rfam family "Bacterial small subunit ribosomal RNA", at positions 355 to 776 of the family's 1533-position model. The record is from RNAcentral.
UGAGGAAUAUUGGGCAAUGCCCGCAAGGGUGACCCAGCAACGCCGCGUGGAGGAUGAAUGCCGUAAGGUUGUAAACUCCUGUUAGAGGGGACGAACAGUUCCGAUCGCAUCGGAAUUUGACGGUACCCUCAGAGAAAGCCCCGGCUAACUACGUGCCAGCAGCCGCGGUAAUACGUAGGGGGCAAGCGUUGUCCGGAUUUACUGGGUGUAAAGGGCGCGCAGGCGGAAUUAUAAGUCAGAGGUGAAAUCCUGCAGCUUAACUGCAGAACUGCCUUUGAUACUGUAAUUCUUGAGUGCGGAAGAGAGAGACGGAAUUCCAGGUGUAGUGGUGAAAUACGUAGAUAUCUGGAAGAACACCAGUUGCGAAGGCGGUCUCUUGGUCCGUAACUGACGCUCAGGCGCGAAAGCGUGGGUAGCAAACAGG